RNAcentral lists this ribosomal RNA (411 nucleotides) under bacterium enrichment culture clone ALO1_GLFRUDD03GXUJ9. RNAcentral's name for it is "bacterial SSU rRNA". It matches the Rfam family "Bacterial small subunit ribosomal RNA", at positions 9 to 420 of the family's 1533-position model. The record is from RNAcentral.
GAGUUUGAUCGUGGCUCAGAUUGAACGCUGGCGGCAUGCCUUACACAUGCAAGUCGAACGGCAGCACGGGAGCUUGCUCCUGGUGGCGAGUGGCGUACGGGUGAGUAAUGCAUCGGAACGUAUCCUGGAGUGGGGGAUAACGUAGCGAAAGUUACGCUAAUACCGCAUAUUCUGUGAGCAGGAAAGCGGGGGACCUUCGGGCCUCGCGCUCUUGGAGCGGCCGAUGUCGGAUUAGCUAGUUGGUGAGGUAAAGGCUCACCAAGGCGACGAUCCGUAGCAGGUCUGAGAGGAUGAUCUGCCACACUGGAACUGAGACACGGUCCAGACUCCUACGGGAGGCAGCAGUGGGGAAUUUUGGACAAUGGGGGCAACCCUGAUCCAGCCAUGCCGCGUGAGUGAAGAAGGCCUCGG